This 654-nucleotide ribosomal RNA is filed under the name uncultured marine bacterium. Its description in RNAcentral is "bacterial SSU rRNA". It matches the Rfam family "Bacterial small subunit ribosomal RNA", at positions 8 to 657 of the family's 1533-position model. The record is from RNAcentral.
AGAGUUUGAUCAUGGCUCAGAUUGAACGCUGGCGGCAUGCCUUACACAUGCAAGUCGAACGGCAGCGCGGGAGCAAUCCUGGCGGCGAGUGGCGAACGGGUGAGUAAUACAUCGGAACGUGCCCAAUCGUGGGGGAUAACGCAGCGAAAGCUGUGCUAAUACCGCAUACGAUCUACGGAUGAAAGCAGGGGAUCGCAAGACCUUGCGCGAAUGGAGCGGCCGAUGGCAGAUUAGGUAGUUGGUGAGGUAAAGGCUCACCAAGCCUUCGAUCUGUAGCUGGUCUGAGAGGACGACCAGCCACACUGGGACUGAGACACGGCCCAGACUCCUACGGGAGGCAGCAGUGGGGAAUUUUGGACAAUGGGCGCAAGCCUGAUCCAGCCAUGCCGCGUGCAGGAUGAAGGCCUUCGGGUUGUAAACUGCUUUUGUACGGAACGAAACGGCCUUUUCUAAUAAAGAGGGCUAAUGACGGUACCGUAAGAAUAAGCACCGGCUAACUACGUGCCAGCAGCCGCGGUAAUACGUAGGGUGCAAGCGUUAAUCGGAAUUACUGGGCGUAAAGCGUGCGCAGGCGGUGAUGUAAGACAGUUGUGAAAUCCCCGGGCUCAACCUGGGAACUGCAUCUGUGACUGCAUCGCUGGAGUACGGCAGAGG